GAUGAAGAACGUAGCGAAAUGCGAUAAGUAGUGUGAAUUGCAGAAUUCCGUGAAUCAUCGAAUCUUUGAACGCACAUUGCGCCUUCUGGUAUUCCGGAAGGCAUGCCUGUUCGAGAGUCAUUAACAACCGUUUCGAUCCCUUUCUUUCAGAAAUUACAAAGAGGAAAAGGGUUUGGUUAUGGUGGAGGAGGGAAAGGGAGCGUUUAGCCUGUAAAAAAAGAGGCUGUGUUCCGCCUCCCCCCCAAAAUUGUACAGGCGGUCGUGUGCGCCCACGCAUCGAGGUGUUGUAAAAGCUGCCACGGCACUUUUCACCUGUGCAGUGCGAGAUUGGCCAGCCGGUUUAAAAACCCUUCCAAACAAUCAAAGGUUGACCUCGGAUCAGGUAGGGAUACCCGCUGAACUUAAGCAUAUCAAUAAGCGGAGGA
RNAcentral lists this unclassified non-coding RNA (425 nucleotides) under soil metagenome. RNAcentral describes it as "partial contains 5.8S ribosomal RNA, internal transcribed spacer 2, and large subunit ribosomal RNA". The stretch from base 1 to 120 matches the Rfam family "5.8S ribosomal RNA", at positions 35 to 154 of the family's 154-position model. The record is from RNAcentral.